GACCCUUCGGGGUUAGUGGCGCACGGGUGCGUAACGCGUGGGAACCUGCCUUUAGGUUCGGAAUAACAGUUAGAAAUGACUGCUAAUACCGGAUAAUGUCUUCGGACCAAAGAUUUAUUGCCUUUAGAUGGGCCCGCGUUGGAUUAGAUAGUUGGUGGGGUAAUGGCCUACCAAGUCGACGAUCCAUAGCUGGUCUGAGAGGAUGAUCAGCCACACUGGGACUGAGACACGGCCCAGACUCCUACGGGAGGCAGCAGUGGGGAAUAUUGGACAAUGGGCGAAAGCCUGAUCCAGCAAUGCCGCGUGAGUGAUGAAGGCCUUAGGGUUGUAAAGCUCUUUUACCAGGGAUGAUAAUGACAGUACCUGGAGAAUAAGCUCCGGCUAACUCCGUGCCAGCAGCCGCGGUAAUACGGAGGGAGCUAGCGUUGUUCGGAAUUACUGGGCGUAAAGCGCACGUAGGCGGCUUUUCAAGUCAGGGGUGAAAUCCCGGGGCUCAACCCCGGAACUGCCCUUGAAACUGGAUGGCUAGAAUACUGGAGAGGUGAGUGGAAUUCCGAGUGUAGAGGUGAAAUUCGUAGAUAUUCGGAAGAACACCAGUGGCGAAAGGCGACUCACUGGACAGUUAUUGACGCUGAGGUGCGAAAGCGUGGGGGAGCAAACAGGAUUAGAUACC
This 673-nucleotide ribosomal RNA is filed under the name Erythrobacter sp. RNAcentral's name for it is "bacterial SSU rRNA". It matches the Rfam family "Bacterial small subunit ribosomal RNA", at positions 72 to 786 of the family's 1533-position model. The record is from RNAcentral. Lineage: Bacteria; Pseudomonadati; Pseudomonadota; Alphaproteobacteria; Sphingomonadales; Erythrobacteraceae.